RNAcentral lists this long non-coding RNA (571 nucleotides) under Lathyrus oleraceus (garden pea). RNAcentral describes it as "Pisum sativum (pea) long non-coding RNA (PSAT_LNC012321)". The record is from RNAcentral. Lineage: Eukaryota; Viridiplantae; Streptophyta; Magnoliopsida; Fabales; Fabaceae.
UUCAACAAACUAGCUUUAAACAUAUUACCAAGGUUCCUGUCUUUUGUGUUACAAACAGAGACUCACUGAAACAAGAUAUGAUAAUUGGGCAAUAAAUGUUUAGAAAAUUGAUUAUAUAAAACAAUAGUAGUAACAUAAAAAGUAAAAUUGAUCAUCAUUUCCUCUAAAUACAUAAAAAGUAAAAUUGAUCUGCAGCAACAUCACCUCUGAUCUGCAGCAACAUCACCUUACCCUUCUUCAUCAACCCUAAAUCGUUUCAACCUUCAGACUCUCACAGUCACGAAACCACUUUCGAAAUAUCAACUAAUAUACCAACACUUCACUGUCAAAUCUUCAAAACGACAUUGUAUAUAGGGCUUCUCAUGGAUACGCAACCACGUGACGAUCUGUAGCAUGCACCGUCACAUUGCGCAGUUUUUGUGAGAUUCUACCGAACACAAAUAAAACAUUUGUCCAAAUCUCUCCAAGCCUGCUUUAGCUCUUGAAAGGAGUUUAUUAGUUAAAUCUUCAUUGACAAUUUCUGCACUGAUCUAUAUCCACGGGAACCAGUACAAGAGUUUGAUGCCAUAGA